RNAcentral lists this long non-coding RNA (787 nucleotides) under Homo sapiens (human). RNAcentral's name for it is "HSALNT0354958". Lineage: Eukaryota; Metazoa; Chordata; Mammalia; Primates; Hominidae. The record is from RNAcentral.
CAGGGGUAAGACACCGUGCCUGGCCACUAAUAAUAAUAAUUUAAAAAUUUCUGAAAAUGAUUCUGCAUCUGCCAAAUGUGCUGCAUGAAUUCUCAGCAUAACUCAGUGACACAGUUUAAUCCCCAUUUUCCAGAUGCGAAAAUUGAGAUUCAGAGCAGUGUAAUGAACCGAGCUCACACCGCUGGUAGGUGGAGCAGGUGUGCGUGUUUUGUGCUCAUGUAGGGGGUUGGGGAGUGUUCCAGCCAGCCUCUGUGCACCUGGGGUGGGGGUGGAAUGAGGAGGGGGUUGUUGUGAGCCUGAGGGUCGCACUGUCUGUGGUUCUCUCCUUCCUGUCAGCUGAGCCCAGCUCCAGACUCAAGAGGAACGGCUGGGGUGAUACCAUCUCCUGGUUUCUGCGGGGGUGUAUGUGAGUUCCCUCCCCCUGCCCCCAGCUGUGGGACUGUCCCUUCUCACAGCCACCACCAACUGACUUCCCCACAGCCUCCAGAUGAGCAAAAAGGUAAAACUCCGGCAUUUUCCACAUCCUCAGCAUCCUCCACCUCCUCAGCUGUUCGCACCCGUGCUGGGAUGCAGCGAAUAGCGUGAGUCAAGAGAAUCCCCUCACUCAGACACCCAGGUUCGGGUCCCAACUUUGUCGCCGUGUGACCUUGGGCAAAUGACCUCACCUCUGAGCCUCAACGUCUUCUUCUGCAAAAUGGGUUAGUGAUCCUGACUAUGGGGCUGUUGAUUCAGGAUUCGGCGGGAACGCCCAGCACUUCCUGAGUACACAAGAGUGCUGAGAAAAUGG